CUCAGGCAGCAACCAGCUGCCACCCUGCUGUGCUGUUUGGGUUAUCUUAGUGCCUGUUAUGUGCUAGGUCUUGCCCCACAAAAUCGGUGUUGCUCCUUAAUGUCCUGUUACUGGAUGUGACAGUGGUUUGCAGCUGGCAGAUAGCCUUUUGUCUGAGCAAGGCAACUUGAUGUUCGUGGGCCUGGUGUUUCCUUGGCCUCAAAGAGCCCCUGCCGCUGGGUGAGCUCUAGCCCCCCUCAGGUGCAUGGCAGGCAUCAGACCCCACUGCUGCCAAGGCAGCAGUCCCCACACCUUGUGGGGUAACCUCCUGAGGUCACCCAUCCCCUGGGAUUUUAGAUACCAGUGGUAUAUGCUUCCUAAAUCCAAAGGGACUAAAACUCAGAGUUUUUGCUUCUCAGGGAUGGCGUAUCCUUUACUAAUCCACAGAAUGGGAUUGGGCUGUUCAGACUUGCUGUCCCAGCAGCAGCAGAUACCAGAAGUCUGGAUCCAGUGUGGUGCCUGAAACUUUCUCUGGCAAUAUUUAAAUAGGGUAUGUCGUACAGGUGGCUCUGUGACAGCCAAAGCAGCACGGCCUUUAUCACCUCCGGGGCCUGUAGAUGCUGCUGUAACACAACCAAGGAAACUGUAAAAAACUGAAGGCAGCUGUCUUGUUCUUGAUGAGCUGAUCUACGAAUUACCUACAGCCCUGUUAAAAGGGGAAAUCUUAUAUGGCAGCUGCGUGACAAGCUCCUGGAGGAGAAGGGCAAGGCCCUGAAGCACGGUGGGAGCUGGGUGAUUGCGCCCUGCCAGUGAGGAACAGCUCCCUUGUCCAGGCAUCUCGCCUGAAUGCUUCAAAAAAGGGCAUUCGUGGAAAGCUUUGUGGCAAUCAGUUGCGAUCUUUGCUUCCAUAAAAAGGUCUUCAGGCCUCCUGGAAAGCAAAAGAAAGGCGUGGGGAAAGAAGAAAGGUGAAGCCCAGGCUCUGCUUCAGGCAUACCUUUGUUACCAGGCCUUUCAUAAGUGCUCAUUGACUCAAGUGUUAAGCCUUGUUUGUGUGGCUUUUUGUUGGACUAGAAACACUGCCUUUCUUACUGGGAGCAAAGUGUACUGACUCGGUGAAGGGAUUUUCUCAAAUCAGGCUUUUCCAGGUUUUAUGGUGCUCUAGCCUUUAUUUUCUACAUGGAUAUUAUGCUCCUUACCGGGGAUGCCAUGGAAAUGAGGAAAACCAAAACAACCAGCAUAAAGUAGAAAUCCUGCACCUUAACAAUGGAGCCUUGCACAGAUCGAGAAACAGAAGGCCACAUUUAGAAAACAGGUCGCUCUUGAUGGACUCAGACCUUGGAUUUGAGAUUUUGUGCCAGGUGAGCUAUUCAGCUGCAUUAACACCAUGCUGUACAGUGAGCUCUGUGGACAGAAGAAUAUUGCAGGCUGUAGGAAUGUGAGAUAAAGUAAAAUCGAACAGGCCAGAAACAAUCUGUUUCACUGAACAAAGAAAUCUCAGUCUAUGAUUAACUUUAUUUCGAGUCAAGAGUAGGGCAGAUCUAGGCUCUUUCAUGGCAUGAUAGUGAACAAUACAAGCCCUGUAGCAGGGAGAGCAUACCACGACUGGAUUAUCUGCGCUAAACAUACUUCAGAGAAGUUCCAUCAGGUUUACUUUAUCCCGACAAACGCUCAUUUAAUGCAGUCGUUACAGCAGUGCAAACCACAGGUUUGCAAUAAGCCAUGCUUGUGGGGCUCAUCUCAGACGCUGGCCUUAUGAAACAAGUUUUGUUAGCAAAUUUGUCUUUUUGCAUCAAACUGCAAUGAUAUGGAAAACAGAAAAGAAUUUUAUAAGAUUAGAAGAAUCAAUGAUUUAUGGACUCCAACAUUGUGAGACGAAGACAAUUUAACACGUUUGGCAGCUUAACAGGUUUGGGGGAAAACCAUGAAACUUGCGUUCCUUGUAAGGCAAGCAGAACUCUUAGGGUAAAGAGUUUAUGUUGCUUUCAUUGUUUCAAAGGAAAAUUAAGUUAAAUACAGAAAAAAAUGGCAUUUUGUAUGCCUGGCAGACUGGAAAAUAUUUUGGGAAGAUUUCAGUUACAACUGGAUCUUCAAAGUGAACAUAAACAGAAAGAAACGAUACUGAAGCCCGUUUAUAAAUAGCUUGAGUUUGCAAGAGUUACAUCUUUGGUUUCUUACUGCUAGUCUAAAGUGAAUCCUACACAGAGGAGUAGGUAUGACCCAGGUGUGCUAUAGGUAUGCUAUAAAUUUAUUGCUCAGCCAAAUGUAUUUUUUCUUGGCCAAACUGAAAGAGAGCACCAUGAAUUAACAACUCAGCCUCCUGCCCAAAGACAGACUAGAGGGUCUGAGAAUCAGAAGGCACGGGGCUAAGGCAUGUACAGAAGGAUGGAGUGGAAAAAUAAAUGUAAAGACUGGAGAACAAUGUUCUUGGUACAGGUGAGGCUUUGAAAGAAAAGAUUGUCUUUGGCCAUCUUAAAAGCAACAACUUGUUGUCCUGUAUAAAAGCACUGGUAAUACUGAGCACUUUGAUCAUGAUUUCUUAUCCUCGCUGGUGUUUCAUUGGAUCAAAAGAUGACGUGCAGCUAAGUAAUACAGCUUGCGCUGGGACACCUGGAGAAGACCCUUUCCUCUGAAGAAUUUGAUAUGUUGUGGGUGCAGAGAUGACAUACUUAGUGGGCAAAAAGGACGCUCCCGCUACAUGGUCCUGCUUCUAUAUAAUAAGUGUGGGAAACAUGCUAGGAUAUUUUUUUACCUCAUUGUUCCUGAACGUUUCACAUGAAGAAUGGUGGGCAGAGAGCAGAAAAGCAGAGGAUGGUUUGGGCCAUGGUUACAAAGCACUGUGAAAGUGGGUAACAAACCUUUUAAAACAGAAAGAUACAGAAUACACUAAAACUACUUAAAGCCACACUCAAAAAUCUUCAAGAAAAGCCUCUGAUACAAUACCUUAAUAAAGACCCUUUCAUGUGAUGUGACUUUUUCUCUUACAUGAGUUCUUUGCGACUUAAAGGGUUUUUCUUUUCUUUUAAAUACAGCACUUAGAUUAAUGUGUAAAACAUAGAGGUAAUUUAAUCUAGAGAUGUUUAGAGCGCCUGUGAACUUUUCCAUUUGGUUAUUUUAAACCAAUUUCCUUAGCAGACAUUGAGUGAUGAUGGGUGGCUAAGGGAAUGAUUUGGCGCAAUGAUUUUGUGAACAAGA
Cygnus olor (mute swan) is the source of this 3171-nucleotide long non-coding RNA. RefSeq lists it as uncharacterized. Lineage: Eukaryota; Metazoa; Chordata; Aves; Anseriformes; Anatidae. The transcript is spliced from 3 exons. The record is from RefSeq and is a predicted model, not a curated record.